RNAcentral lists this unclassified non-coding RNA (326 nucleotides) under uncultured fungus. RNAcentral describes it as "partial contains small subunit ribosomal RNA, internal transcribed spacer 1, and 5.8S ribosomal RNA". The stretch from base 1 to 73 matches the Rfam family "Eukaryotic small subunit ribosomal RNA", at positions 1759 to 1831 of the family's 1831-position model. The record is from RNAcentral. Lineage: Eukaryota; Fungi.
CCAAACUUGGUCAUUUAGAGGAAGUAAAAGUCGUAACAAGGUUUCCGUAGGUGAACCUGCGGAAGGAUCAUUACCAAUCAGCGGGAGGCCUCGCGGCCUUCCGUACUGCCUGUUUGGCCGCCUUAACUGCGCGGUCAACUGGUUAACCCUUUGUGAACCAAAAAACCUUUCGCUUCGGCAGCUGGGCUUUAACCGGCCUGUCAGCCUGCCGUUAGCACCCUUCAAAAACUUGUUGUCAAAACAUUGUCUGAUAACCAAAUUUUCGAAUGAAAAUUAAAACUUUCAACAAUGGAUCUCUUGGUUCCCGCAUCGAUAAAGAACGCAGC